AGCUUAUCAGUUAGCUCUGUUGGUUAGGGCAUGGUGCUGAUAACACCAAGGUUGCAGGUUCUAUCCCCAUACAGGCCA
This is a non-coding RNA of Podarcis lilfordi (Lilford's wall lizard), 78 nucleotides long. Lineage: Eukaryota; Metazoa; Chordata; Lepidosauria; Squamata; Lacertidae. The record is from the annotation of a GenBank genome assembly.